CUAGGCUUGACAUCCCUUUGCAAAGCCCUUAACCGGGCUCCUCUUGUUCGCAAGACAAAGGUGACAGGUGGUGCAUGGUUGUCGUCAGCUCGUGUCGUGAGAUGUUGGGUUAAGUCCCGCAACGAGCGCAACCCCUAUUUUUAGUUGCCAUCAGUUAGGCUGGGCACUCUAGAAAGACUGCCGAGGACAACUCGGAGGAAGGUGGGGAUGACGUCAAAUCAUCAUGCCCCUUAUGCUUAGGGCUACACACGUGCUACAAUGGCUGUUACAAAGGGCUGCGAGACCGGGAGGUGGAGCCAAUCCCAUAAAAACAGUCUAAGUUCGGAUUGUAGG
This 333-nucleotide ribosomal RNA is filed under the name uncultured bacterium. RNAcentral's name for it is "bacterial SSU rRNA". It matches the Rfam family "Bacterial small subunit ribosomal RNA", at positions 975 to 1304 of the family's 1533-position model. The record is from RNAcentral.